UGUAAAUAAAUAGCCCGCCAAUAGUCGUGCAUGCAAGCUGGUUCGACAGACAGAUUUUUGUGAACUGAAAAUGUUGCCGGUAAUCGCUGGUAUUGGCACUGAAAAAUUAUCUCUAACCAGCGUGACCAUUGACUGUCAUUUUGCCUUCUUAUGGAGCUUGGACUGCACCAUUCAGGAGAUCUGAGAACUACACACAACCAUCAGGGUCAUUACAAUGAGCAGUAGGUUGAGUACAAAACCCUCUAGAAGAGACAGGCCACGUUCUAGU
Long non-coding RNA from Acanthaster planci (crown-of-thorns starfish), 268 nucleotides. The record is from RefSeq and is a predicted model, not a curated record. NCBI's taxonomy places the organism in Eukaryota, Metazoa, Echinodermata, Asteroidea, Valvatida, Acanthasteridae.